GACGAACGCUGGCGGCGUGCUUAACACAUGCAAGUCGAACGAAGUGGCAAACGGGUGAGUAACGCGAAAUCAACCUGCCCUUCAGAGGGGGACAACAGUUGGAAAAGACUGCUAAUACCGCAACCAGAAGGAGGGGGUUGCGUCUGAUUAGCGAGUUGGAGGGGUAACGGCCCACCAAGGAGAUGAUCAGUAGCCGGUCUGAGAGGGUGAUCGGCCACACUGGGACUGAGACACGGCCCAGACUCCUACGGGAGGCAGCAGUGGGGAAUCUUCCGCAAUGGACGGAAUUCUGACGGAGCAACGCCGCGUGAGUGAUGACGGCCUUCGGGUUGUAAAGCUCUGUUAAUCGGGACGCGGUACCUGACUAGAAAGCCACGGCUAACUACGUGCCAGCAGCCGCGGUAAUAC
RNAcentral lists this ribosomal RNA (408 nucleotides) under uncultured bacterium. Its description in RNAcentral is "partial 16S ribosomal RNA". It matches the Rfam family "Bacterial small subunit ribosomal RNA", at positions 28 to 526 of the family's 1533-position model. The record is from RNAcentral.